Long non-coding RNA from Argentina anserina (silverweed cinquefoil), 517 nucleotides. RefSeq lists it as uncharacterized. The record is from RefSeq and is a predicted model, not a curated record. Lineage: Eukaryota; Viridiplantae; Streptophyta; Magnoliopsida; Rosales; Rosaceae. The transcript is spliced from 2 exons.
UAUCUACAUAGUUUUCUAUAAAUUAGGCUGAUACAUUUUGUUAAUAUGACAAAACAAGCUUGUCCUCCAUGAACAUGAAGCUGAUUAUAGUCUGUUUCUCUGCCCAGAAAGGACAUAUUUGAGAUUGAUCGAUCAAUCACAAAAGAAAGUGCAGAAGUACCAGAUAGAGAUGAUGAUAUAUAGAACUUUUAUGUAAAUGGGGUGAGUAGAUUCCAUGCUAUACUUGUCAUGCGAGCAGUCCUCUCUUGGUGUUAACCUCGCUUUCGUUGUCUGUUCGACCUUGAAAGCUAUUUAAUUUUGAUUGCAUAAAAACCCUAGCUAGAUCUGCCGGAUUUUCUGAUCGACCAUCUCAACUAAUCAUUCUUAAUUGGCGUGGAUGAUAUUACAAAGAACAUAAGUUCACUCAGAAAUUAAUGAACAAAGGAUCAUGCUUGCUUCUUGUUUUUUAACAAACUACACAGAAUUUUUGUAUCCGCAUGAAUUAAUAUUUUCUUUUAACUUCAGGGUAUUAUCUGAA